UUGUCGUAGGUGGUCACGAACGUAAUGUUUCUGUGUUCCUCGUUAGGUUGGCUGGAAAGAAGUGCCUCUCUGUCCAGCGAGCAUGAUUUGGUGAAAGCAUUUUCAAUUAGAUUGCUGGGAUAGUUACGUUUCCUGAAAUCGGCAGACAUUUCGUGAGCGCGUCUGUGGAAAUCGUCGGUGUUGGAACAUAUGCGCUUGAGUCGUGUGAAUUGCCCAAAAGGAAUAUUUCUUUUCUGGACAUUGGGGUGAUAACUAUUAAAAUGGAGAUACUGACGUCUGUCGGUUGGUUUCUUAUAAAGGUGAAUUGGAUAGUGCUAUGCAAGGAGUUGAAGUGUUCAAAGAAAGACAACAAGGAAGAGUUGUCACCUGGCCACACAACAAAAAUGUCGCCGAUGUAUCUCAGGAAAAUGAGCGGCUGUACGGGGAAGGAUUCAAGGGCCCUCUUUUCAAAUUGACCCAUGAAGAGGUUUGCAUAGUUAGGUGACACGCGGGAUCCCAUCGCUGCGCCAUGUACUUGGACAAAAUGUCUGCCAUUAAACUCAAAGUUAUUAUA
Long non-coding RNA from Ornithodoros turicata, 553 nucleotides. RefSeq lists it as uncharacterized. The transcript has 2 exons. The record is from RefSeq and is a predicted model, not a curated record. Lineage: Eukaryota; Metazoa; Arthropoda; Arachnida; Ixodida; Argasidae.